UUGAAGUGUAUUAACACAGAACUCUAGAAGGCUUUAUAGAUACUCAUGAUAACAUCAGUCUGUGUUGUCUCUCCUUCAGGAUCAUCAUAUCACAAAUAACUGGAUUACCCUGGUGGAUAAGAAACUGAGCUGCACCAUCCUGUCCCUGGCUGAGGCAGACGGUCAAACCACCAUAACCUUCUGGAGAUCCAUGCAAUCAUGUGAUGAGGAUGACUUACACAUCACCGUCAAACAAUAGAGGUCAAGACUUUAGAAAGCUGCAUCCCACGAAGAUGGAGACGGAAAGACCAUGGACACAAUGCAUCUGGGAUCAAGAAGAAGAUCUUCGCAGAAAUUAAUCAAAUCCAUGUAAUGGAUAUAGACAAAAAGAUAAUUCAAGGACUAUCAGAGGUAGAGAGGUGAGGCAGGGGUGAGGACAUCAUCCUUGCUAUUUUGACAGUCCCUGGAGGACAAUACAGAAGAGGACUCGAGACCACAGCAGCGAUCCUGCUCUUGCCCUACUUCUUCAAAGAGGACCAGAGUGGCCUUUGCACAAAUGAUCUGUUUCUUCAUAAACAUAGGUUUCACCGCUCUUCACUCCUUUACUGCACAUUGGCGGAAAUCCAUUUCACCAUGAGAGUGAAAUCUCGCUGGCCUUUGAUGGAGAGAACAUCCACGCCCUAGAGGACGUCCCCAUGGGACUUGGGGCUCUGUUAGGGCUGUAUUUAAAAAAAAAAUUCCCUUAAAAUUCCCAAAAAUGUCAGAAAAACACUUAUGUUCUUAAGUUACUGUGUUCUGGGUUAAGACAAUUUGGGGUGAAGUUACCAGGGCCGGUCAUAAAGAUGACAAACUUCCUAACAUAACUAAGUGGUUGUUGGGCAAGUGGUUGUUACACACACACACACACACACACACUAAAGCUAAAAAAUCUGUAUUUAGCAAGUCUACAAACAUAAUAAAUAAUACAUUAACUUUGUAUAGUGCUUUUCAUUACAUUUAAAAUGUUUUUUUAAUAAUGAUGUACAAUAAAAACAACAUACAUUAAAAAUGAAUCAUAGGUACACUAACAACUAGUCAACUAGCAAUUUCGUAGUGUGUUUUCUUUGGUAAAGUGUUUUGUAAAUAUUAUUUCACAUUUGUGGUGCCACUAAAUAAACAAUUAAUUAUUUAAUAUUAUUAUUAUUAAAAUAUGCAGAUGCAGAUGAAUUAGCUACCUGACCCAUGAAAAAAGUCACAGCGGGGCUGAUGGAAACAGGAUGUGCCGAUAGAAUUGUAAAAAUACCGACAGACAAUUUGUUCGUUCGACAUGGUGGGAUCUUUUUGUGUCGGCAAAAGUAAUAAUGCGUGAAAUUUCGGUGGAAACGGAUUUAUGCGCAAAUAUUGAUACAGUAUAAUAGGCUAUACCUAUCACGCGAUGAUAUGUCGUUUGGUCCUGCCUCUACGACUCCGGAAACUAUACAGUUUAUUAGGUUACAGAUGAAAUAAAUGAUGAUGAACUUUACAGUGGUGUAAAAGUGCACGUGAUGAGCUUGAUGCUCCAAUAAAUAAAUCCAAUAAAUAUCUGUGCCACGGUAACAAUGGCGUGGCCUCCAGGACACAAAGGAUCUCACACCCCUGAGAAAUCGGACAUUACUUUUAAAAGAGUGUUACCUUUUUUUCUGGGCUCAGAGCCAGGUCUCUAGGCUAUUGUGCUUUGGUUUUUCAUUGUUGUACUUCAUUGUUUGUAAUGUUACAUCUUCUCAUAAUAUCACUACAGGCCUACAUGCAAAGCUCCAGUUUCUUCCUAAAACCCUGAUUAUUUAUGUCUUAUGUACAGUUUGUUCACCCAUAGCCACAGGAAAUAGGGGUGUUUUAAACAUGUCUUUCUAUCCUAUCUAUUUUUUUUUAAAGUGUGCACUAGGCCUUUAUUAUUCAAGUAUGAGUGGAAAUAAAUACUAAUCAGCAGAGCAAGGAGGAAAAUAUCCUUUCCUCCUCCUCCCCCUCAUCUUCUUGUCCUGCUUCUCUCCGAUCCUCCUGUCAUCCUCUCUCCUCCUCCUGUCCUCCUCUCUCCUCGACCUUCAUCCGCUCCUCACUACCCUCCUUCUGUCCUCCUCCUCCUCCACCUACUCCUACUGUCCUCCUCCACCUACCCCUCCUCCUUCUGUCCUCCUCCCCCCUCCUCUCCUCCACCUUCUGCUUUCCCCCUUCCUCCUCCAGCUCCUUGUCCUUGAGGCGGACUUUGCUUAUUUUUUCAAUACGUGUCACUUUGCAUGCAUCAAUGACUUUAGACAGUGGUAUGCAAGUGCCUUUAAAUGUGUAUGUUCUAUGUUCAGUUGAAGUCGGAAGUUUACAUGCACCUUAGCCAAAUACAUUUAAACUCAGUUUUUCACAAUUCCUGACAUUUAAUCCUUGUAAAAAUCCCCUGUCUUAGGUCAGUUAGGAUAACCACUUUAUUUUAAGAAUUUGAAAAGUCAGAAUAAUAGUAGAGAGAAUUAUUUAUUUAAGCUUUUAUUUCUUUCAUCACAUUCCCUGUGGGUCAGAAGUUUACAUACAUUCAAUUAGUAUUUGGUAGCAUUGCCUUGGGUUCAACUUUUCGGGUAGCCUUCCACAAGCUUCCCACAAUAAGUGAAUUUUGGCCCAUUCCUCCUGACAGAGCUGGUGUAACCGAGUCAGGUUUGUAGGCCUCCUUGCUAACACACUUUUUCAGUUCAAACCCACACAUUUUCCAUCGGAUUGAGGUCAGGGCUUUGUGAUGGCCACUCCAAUACCUUGACUUUGUUGUCCUUAAGCCAUUUUGCCACAACUUUGGAAGCAUGCUUGGAGUCAUUGUCCAUUUGGAAGACCCAUUUGCAACCAAGCUUUAACUUUCUGACUGAUGUCUUGAAAUGUUGCUUCAAUACAUCCACAUAAUUUUUCAGCCUCAUGAUGCCAUCUAUUUUGUGAAGUGCACCAGUCCCUCCUGCAGCAAAGCACCCCCACAACAUGGUGCUGCCACCUUCAUGCUUCAUGGUUGGGAUGGUGUUCUUCGGCUUGCAAGCGUCCUCCUUUUUCCUCCAAACAUAACAAUGGUCAUUAUGGUCAAACAGUUCUAUUUUUGUUUCAUCAGACCGGAGGACAUUUCUCCAUUUGCAGUUGCAAACCGUAGUCUGUCUUUUUUAUGGUGGUUUUGGAGCAGUGGCUUCUUCCUUGCUGAGCGGCCUUUCAGGUUAUGUCGAUAUAGGACUCAUUUUACUGUGGAUAUAGAUACUUUUGUACCUGUUUCCUCCAGCAUCUUCACAACAUCCUUUGCUGUUGUUAUGGGAUUGAUUUGCACUUUUCGCACCAAAGUACAUUCAUCUCUAGGAAACAAAAUGAGUCUCCUUCCUGAGCGGUAUGACAGCUGCAUGGUCCGAUGGUGUUUAUACUUUCGUACUAUUGUUUGAACAGAAGGUACCACGUUCUUCAGGUGUUUGGAAAUUGCUCCCAAGGAUGAACCAGACUUGUGGAGGUCUACAUUUUUUAAAUGAUUUCUUUUGAUUUUCCCAUGAUGUCAAGCAAACAGGCACUGCGUUUGAAGGUAGGCAUUGAAAUACAUCCACAGGUACACCUCCAAUUGACUCAAAUGAUGUCAAUUAGCCUAUCAGAAGCUUCUAGCCAUGACAUCAUUUUCUGGAAUUUUCCAAGCUGUUUAAAGGCACAGUCAACUUAGUGUAUGUAAACUUCUGACCCACUGGAAGUGUGAUACAGUGAAUUAUAAGUGAAAUAAUCUGUCUGUAAACAAUUGUUGGAAACAUUACUUGUGUCAUGGACAAAGUAGAUGUCCUAACCGACUUGCCAAAACUAUAGUUUGUUAACACAAGAAAUUUGUGGAGUGGUUAAAAAACGAGUUUUAAUGACUCCAACCUAAGUGUAUUUAAACUUCCGACUUCAACUGUAUAUGAGACCUUAGAAGGCUUAGCUUACAUGCCUCUUGUUUAUAUUUUUAAAUAAUACAUGCAACAUUUCUGUUAUGUCUAAAUGUUAACCACCCAUAUAAGUCAGUGUAUUUGUAUAUACACAGAUAAUAUUAACAGAACCUGCAUAUUACCACUGCAAGGUCGUGAAGGUGCCAAAGCUCAACAGGAAAAAUCAUAUCACUCUGAUGGAGCUGGCGAUCGAUCAACUGGACCUGGUCCAUCACAUGGUGGUCUAUGGCUGCAAAUUGUCUGUAAACCAGACCUAUGAGCAGAAAUGCCACAUGGGAGAACCAGCUGAUGAAUACAUCUGUGUAGUCUGCCUGUGGUGUAAGAGGGGUGACAGACUGCCCCCUUCUGGAGACUUUAAUACAUACACACAUGCAUGCACGAAUUAACACCCACACACAUUAGUCUGCACUCUGUCUCUUCAUUAUCGAUUAGUCUUCUCUGGCUUUUUAGCUUCUAGAAAACACUGGCAUCCCUAUUGGAGGACAGGAUAAUGAUGAGUUCUACAAGCUGGAAAUUCACUACAACAACACGGUCCAAGAAGCAGAAAACAUUUUACUAGCUACAAGCUAGUAUAACCAUUUUCCAAACUACUGAUAAUGGAUCAACAGGCUUUCCAUGCUCCAAUCUUAAUUAUUGUGUGUGACAUGCAAAUUGUGUGUAGGUAUGUAUUAUGUGUAUAAUGAGGGAGGAGUUUUUGUUGUGUGCUUCGUCUUGGCUUGUUAGUUUCAAUCCAUUUCUUUCUCUUGCACUGACAUCCCUCCCCGCAUAUCUUCUGUCCUGCUACAGGCAAUCAGGACCAGAGAUAGUGAAAUAUAGGACACAACCGGCAUCAGCUGUGAAUUUGGAAACUAGAGGUGUAAUAUAUAUGUUCAAUAUGUCAGAAUCUAACUGGUUUUCCACAGAUAAAUGACCACAAAAUUCACAGCAACAUGUAAACCAGAGGAGGCUGGUGGGAGGAGCUAUAUGAGGACGUGUUCAUUGCAAUGGCUGGAAUGGAAUCAAUAGCAUGGUAUCAAACACAUGGAAACAACGUGUUUGACUCCAUUCCAGCCUCCUCUGGUGUAAACUCUGUGGAUUUGGAAACUGGAGGUGCUCCUGAGAAGAAUGGGCCCUCAUUUACUGUGACACAUUGUACAGGAAAUUGUGUACAGUGCAAUAUGAAUGACAGAACGUUGUGUGCAGUGUAAUACAAAUGGGCUAAAUAACAAACAAAAAAUAGAUGUGCUUUCUAAAGUUGAAUAUUCUAAUGAUAUUAUUAUUAUUGUUAUUACUAUUAUUAUUAUGAAUAAUAGCAAUAUAAAUCAUGUUUUGUUAUUUUGUAUUACUGUUGUUACUAUAAUAACUAUCUAGCAAUUUGUAUUUAUUUUAUUGAACCUUUAUUUAAGUAGGCAAGUCAGUUCAGAACCAAUUCUUAUUUACAAUGAUGGCCAAACUGCGCCGCCCUAUGAGACUCCCAAUCACGGCCGGUUGUGAUACAGCUCAGGAUCGGACCAGGGACUGAUCACUGAGAUGCAGUGCCUUAGACCGCUGCGCCACUUGGGAGCUGUAAUCAUUACUGUUGAUGCUGUUAACAAUAUUGUCAAUGCCAUAUUAUAAUUUGUGCUAUUUAAAAAAAAAUGUAUUGCUAAACAAUAUUCGAAGUAUGCUAACAUUUACAAAUAAAAUGUUAAGAGUUUCAACCAUUAGUGUUUUUUUGAUCAUCUUCAUUGGGGGACUAAAAUAAAAUAAAAAAUGUCACAUGCGCCGAAUACAACAGGUAUAGAUAGACCUUGCUGUCACGCCCUGACCAUAGAGAGCCUUUUGUUCUCUAUGUUGGUUUGGUCGGGGUGUGACUAGGGUGGGUGCUCUAGUUUUUCUAUUUCUAUUUCGGCAUGGUAUGGUUCCCAAUCAGAGGCAGCUGUCUAUCGUUGUCUCUGAUUGGGGAUCAUAUUUAGGCAGCCUUUUCCCACUGGGUUUUUGUGGGAUCUUGUUUGUGUGUAGUGGCCUGUGAGCACUUCAUGACGUUUCGGUUUGCUCUUUAUUGUUUUUGUGAGUUUAAUUUCAAUUAAACAUGUGGA
Oncorhynchus nerka (sockeye salmon) is the source of this 5959-nucleotide long non-coding RNA. RefSeq lists it as uncharacterized. The record is from RefSeq and is a predicted model, not a curated record. The transcript has 7 exons. Lineage: Eukaryota; Metazoa; Chordata; Actinopteri; Salmoniformes; Salmonidae.